GCACUGCUGACGAGUCCCAUAAUAGGACGAAACGACCGACCAGUGC
This is a non-coding RNA of Schistosoma margrebowiei, 46 nucleotides long. Lineage: Eukaryota; Metazoa; Platyhelminthes; Trematoda; Strigeidida; Schistosomatidae. The record is from Rfam.